This 69-nucleotide transfer RNA is filed under the name Dryophytes andersonii (pine barrens treefrog). Its description in RNAcentral is "tRNA-Val". It matches the Rfam family "tRNA". Rfam says of the family: Transfer RNA (tRNA) molecules are approximately 80 nucleotides in length. Their secondary structure includes four short double-helical elements and three loops (D, anti-codon, and T loops). Further hydrogen bonds mediate the characteristic L-shaped molecular structure. tRNAs have two regions of fundamental functional importance: the anti-codon, which is responsible for specific mRNA codon recognition, and the 3' end, to which the tRNAs corresponding amino acid is attached (by aminoacyl-tRNA synthetases). tRNAs cope with the degeneracy of the genetic code in two manners: having more than one tRNA (with a specific anti-codon) for a particular amino acid; and 'wobble' base-pairing, i.e. permitting non-standard base-pairing at the 3rd anti-codon position. Lineage: Eukaryota; Metazoa; Chordata; Amphibia; Anura; Hylidae. The record is from RNAcentral.
CAAAAUAUAGCUUAAACAAAGCAUCUCGCUUACACCGAGAAGAUACCUGUUAAACUCAGAUUAUUUUGA